RNAcentral lists this ribosomal RNA (309 nucleotides) under Triticum aestivum (bread wheat). Its description in RNAcentral is "partial small subunit ribosomal RNA". The record is from RNAcentral. Lineage: Eukaryota; Viridiplantae; Streptophyta; Magnoliopsida; Poales; Poaceae.
AUGAUGAAAAGGAACAUGACCUAUUACCUCCAUGAAGAAGAACCAGAUCAGGUGUGCACUAUUCAAAACAAGAACAUUAUCGGCAAGGUCAUGUUCUUAACAGCAGUUGCGAGGCCACGAUUUGAUGAUCAAGGAAAUGUAACAUUUGAUGGCAAGAUAGGAGUAUGGGCCUUCAUCAAAGAAACUCCAGCAAAAAAGGAUUCCAAGAACAGACUCAAAGGGACUAAGGAACUAAAGUCGGUCACAGUUACUAGGAAUGUGAUGAGGGAAUACCUAUGUGAAAAGGUCAUUCCAGCUAUUGAAGCAUAG